Molecule: long non-coding RNA, 2338 nt
Filed under: Citrus x clementina
Lineage: Eukaryota; Viridiplantae; Streptophyta; Magnoliopsida; Sapindales; Rutaceae
Description: Citrus clementina (C. clementina) long non-coding RNA (CCLE_LNC004268)
Source: RNAcentral
GCCUUUUUUUGCAUUGUCACUACCAACUUAUUAUCUACAUUCAUCUGCAGAACGGAGCAAGAUGCCAAGAAAGAAAUAUAACACAAGAAAAGUAAGUUCCCCCAAUCGUUCAAAACAAAUACAUACAUAGACAAAAAAAAAAAAGACAUAUCAUAUCACACUUAAAUAUUACCACUCUAAAAAGAAAAGGUCAAAAGACUAACACACAUGUAGAAAGACGACCAACAACAACACUAAACAUGUUUUGUGUAUUGAUUACUUCCACCAUCACUAACUUCAUCAUCAUUAAUAAUUUGGUUUUUUCUCUUUCUACUCUUAACAGCAUUAGUGACAUGAAAAUCUCCCACAGAAUCUUCCAAAUUAUUUGAUAAGAUAUCAUGAGGAUCCUGUAAUUUUUUAAUCAAGGAAAUUAUAAUUAUGAGUAAACUGAACAUGCUAAUUUUAAUCAUAAAGGAAAACAUUUGGGAAAUAAAAGUAAAUAAAAUUACCAUUUCUUGGGAAUGUCAUUCAUUUCUUUCAUAAUUUCCACAUUUUCAUGAUCUGUAUUGUUUUCCUACAAAACACAACAAUUAAAUAUUUUUUUAACAUUACAUAUAUUGCCUACAAAUUGAACCUAGCAUAGGUAGAUAAUACCUUUUUAUCCUUCUUCAAUUCUUGUUCUAGUUCCAAUUUCUCAUCAUGGGUGAAAAGCUUUGACGCAGUAAAAUUCUCAAGUCCCUCUUUCAAAUUGUAAUCAUUCAAUUUUAGUUCGUAAACAAAAUUUUUUUCACAAAGGCUUUGAAUUUCUGCAGGGACAUCCCUACUAUAUAAAGGUAGUCUAUUAAACAACUUGUGAGCUGAUGUAUCAAGUAACUUCUCAGCUACAUGAUUGAAUAAGACAAAAGUUGUCUCUGCAGUUUUAUCCAUGACUUUUAUAUGUAUUUGCUACCUACAUUAGAAUAAUGAAUUAGAGUGAAAAACUAACAACAUAAUAAGAUUUUAAAAAAAUUAAUAUUAUUUUUCUUACAUCACAAGAGGAUAGUCACAUUCCUUUUUGCAAGUGCCACACAUAUAAAUACCAUUUGUAGGCAUGACCUUUUUUAUGCAUAUUUUGCACGAAACAUAGUACCAUCUAAAGGAGCUGUCUAUUUCUCUAAUCUUGCCCUGCACAGUAACAAUAUAUUCCUACAAUUAAACAAUAAGCAUUUUCAAAAAUAAUAAGGACAUUCCAACAUUUAGGAACAAAUAACACAAAUGGAUGAGAAGGAAAAAAGAAAAAUAGAAAAACCACCUUCACUUGAGAACUUCAAUCAGCCUCCAACAAUUCUUUAAUGCUCAUCAUAUUGAGGAACAUCUCUUCCUCAAAAGUAAUCUUAUUCACAUUCGAACUUUCAAUAACUUGCACAACGUUGGAGAUGGUAGAAAAUCUUUCAAUUAAUAAUGCUACAUAAUACAUUUGAAGAUUUAUGUAGAUUUUGCUUGCACUUGUGGUAGAGAAACUAACCUCACAUGUUUAGAGCAAAUGUAACCUAAAACGAAACUUGAACAAAAUCCAAAAUUGUGUAUAAUAUUAAGAUAGCCACAUUGUAUUUGAAAAUGUUAAUUAGUGGGAUAUAAAUAAAAUAAUCACCUUGGAAUUUUUUAAUAGUUGUAGGAAGUUACUAUUACAAUACAAGGACCCUCGUCUUUCUUGUACAAGUUUGGAUCAAACAUGUCCCCUAACUUUCCCCAUAAAGUAAUCUUUGUUGUUACCGAGCUAUCCAUAAAUAUUAACAAAAGUUAAUAAUGUAAAGAGAAACAAUAACUAAAAAAUAACAUAAAUAACUAAAAAUUAUAAAUUCAUAGUUUUCUUGAUUAUAUUCAACUUACUAAUAUGUUAGAACUUUUAUAUCUCUUUUUUUCCAACCAGCUCCAACGAUCUCAAUAUCACCCACACCACAUAAACUUCUGAUAACAUAUGUAAUAUUAUGAAAAAAUAACAUAAACAUGUUAAAACAUAAGGAUUAAUAAUUUCUGGGAAAUUAUCAGCCAUAUACCCUUAAAUGACAUCCGUAUCAAACGUGUGUGAACAUUUUUCAAGUGUAUCACUCGUAUACCCUAAGUUGACAAAACACUUCUGCCGUCCACCAAUCCGUUAACUUCCGUUUGCAAGCGCUGACAUCAUAAGGGUAAUUUAGUCUUUUAAGAUUGACAAAAUUUUGAUUUAAAAAAACGACAUGUCUUCCUAUUUACCUAGUAAAACAUGACAUGUCAUAUGAUAUAUAUUGAUAAAAAUGACAUGUCAUCCUAUUUAUCAGAUAAUUAUUAAUAAUUACUAAAAAAAACUACUUUACAACCGAAUCUACUCCUCCAAAAUUUA